GUGAGUCAUCGAAUCUUUGAACGCACAUUGCGCUCUCUGGUAUUCCGGAGAGCAUGCUUGUUUGAGUAUCAGUAAAACACCCUCAGCUCCUCUCUUGUUUCGACAGAAGAGGGGUUGGACUUGAGUGAUCCCAACGGCAGUGAUUUUCGAAGAACUGUUGGCGGGUCGCUUGAAAUGCAGGUGCGGCAGGACACAUCUUCUGAGCUAUAAGCAUUACUUAUUUAGUCCCGUCAAACGGAUUAUAUCUAUUGCUGCAGCUAACAUAAAGGUCGAUUGUCCUUGUGCCCGACUGAUGCAGGA
RNAcentral lists this unclassified non-coding RNA (300 nucleotides) under uncultured Mortierella. RNAcentral describes it as "sequence contains 5.8S rRNA gene, ITS2". The stretch from base 1 to 71 matches the Rfam family "5.8S ribosomal RNA", at positions 84 to 154 of the family's 154-position model. The record is from RNAcentral. Lineage: Eukaryota; Fungi; Mortierellomycota; Mortierellomycetes; Mortierellales; Mortierellaceae.